RNAcentral lists this ribosomal RNA (442 nucleotides) under uncultured bacterium. RNAcentral's name for it is "partial 16S ribosomal RNA". It matches the Rfam family "Bacterial small subunit ribosomal RNA", at positions 338 to 795 of the family's 1533-position model. The record is from RNAcentral.
CCUAUGGGUGGCAGCAGUGGGGAAUAUUGGGCAAUGGGCGCAAGCCUGACCCAGCAACGCCGCGUGAAGGAAGAAGGCUUUCGGGUUGUAAACUUCUUUUAAGGGGGAAGAGCAGAAGACGGUACCCCUUGAAUAAGCCACGGCUAACUACGUGCGAGCAGCCGCGGGAAUACGUAGGUGGCAAGCGUUGUCCGGAUUUACUGGGUGUAAAGGGCGUGCAGCCGGAGAGACAAGUCAGAUGUGAAAUCUACGGGCUCAACCGGUGAACUGCAUUUGAAACUGUUUCUCUUGAGUAUCGGAGAGGUAAGCGGAAGUCCUUGUGUAGCGGUGAAAUGCGUAGAUAUAAGGAAGAACACCAGUGGCGAAGGCGGAUUACUGGACGAUAACUGACGGUGAGGCGCGAAAGCGUGGGGAGCAAACAGGAUUAGAUACCCUUGUAGUC